This 206-nucleotide unclassified non-coding RNA is filed under the name uncultured Thanatephorus. RNAcentral describes it as "sequence contains ITS1". The record is from RNAcentral. Lineage: Eukaryota; Fungi; Basidiomycota; Agaricomycetes; Cantharellales; Ceratobasidiaceae.
UUGAAUUUAAUGUGGAGUUGGUUGUAGCUGGCCCGAUUGAAUAAUUUGGGCAUGUGCACACCAUCUCUUUCAUCCACACACACCUGUGCACCUGUGAGACAGAAGUGGGACUUUUAAUUUAAUUUAAUUGGACCCUCUGUCUACUCAAUCCACACAAACUCAAUUUAUUUUAAAAUGAAUGUAACUGGAUGUAACACAUCUAAUAC